CGGCAGCCCGAGUGGUAGCCGUUUUUAUUGGGUCUAAAGGGUCCGUAGCCGGCUUGAUAAGUCUUUUGGGAAAUCUGACAGCUUAACUGUCAGGCUUCUAAGGGAUACUGUCAGGCUUGGGACCGGAAGAGGUAAGGGGUACUCCAGGGGUAGGAGUGAAAUCUUGUAAUCCCUGGGGGACCAUCUGUGGCGAAGGCGCCUUACCAGAACGGGUCCGACGGUGAGGGACGAAAGCUAGGGGAGCAAACCGGAUUAGAUACCCGAGUAGUCC
RNAcentral lists this ribosomal RNA (271 nucleotides) under uncultured archaeon. RNAcentral's name for it is "partial 16S ribosomal RNA". It matches the Rfam family "Archaeal small subunit ribosomal RNA", at positions 477 to 747 of the family's 1478-position model. The record is from RNAcentral.